GACGAACGCUGGCGGCGUGCUUAACACAUGCAAGUCGAACGGAAAGGCCCUGCUUGCAGGGUACUCGAGUGGCGAACGGGUGAGUAACACGUGGGUGAUCUGCCCUGCACUUCGGGAUAAGCUUGGGAAACUGGGUCUAAUACCGGAUAGGAGCCAUCCUUAGUGUGGUGGUUGGAAAGUUUUUUCGGUGUAGGAUGAGCUCGCGGCCUAUCAGCUUGUUGGUGGGGUAAUGGCCUACCAAGGCGGCGACGGGUAGCCGGCCUGAGAGGGUGUACGGCCACAUUGGGACUGAGAUACGGCCCAGACUCCUACGGGAGGCAGCAGUGGGGAAUAUUGCACAAUGGGCGCAAGCCUGAUGCAGCGACGCCGCGUGGGGGAUGAAGGCCUUCGGGUUGUAAACUCCUUUCGCUAGGGACUAAGCUUUUUUGUGACGGUACCUAGAUAAGAAGCACCGGCUAACUACGUG
Molecule: ribosomal RNA, 466 nt
Filed under: uncultured bacterium
Lineage: Bacteria
Description: partial 16S ribosomal RNA
Rfam family: Bacterial small subunit ribosomal RNA
Source: RNAcentral